Molecule: ribosomal RNA, 253 nt
Filed under: uncultured bacterium
Lineage: Bacteria
Description: partial 16S ribosomal RNA
Rfam family: Bacterial small subunit ribosomal RNA
Source: RNAcentral
UACGUAGGUGGCAAGCGUUAUCCGGAAUUAUUGGGCGUAAAGCGCGCGCAGGUGGUUUCUUAAGUCUGAUGUGAAAGCCCACGGCUCAACCGUGGAGGGUCAUUGGAAACUGGGAGACUUGAGUGCAGAAGAGGAAAGUGGAAUUCCGUGUGUAGCGGUGAAAUGCGUAGAGAUAUGGAGGAACACCAGUGGCGAAGGCGACUUUCUGGUCUGUAACUGACACUGAGGCGCGAAAGCGUGGGGAGCAAACAGG